RNAcentral lists this ribosomal RNA (624 nucleotides) under uncultured bacterium. RNAcentral's name for it is "bacterial SSU rRNA". It matches the Rfam family "Bacterial small subunit ribosomal RNA", at positions 163 to 786 of the family's 1533-position model. The record is from RNAcentral.
UUAAUACCUGAUGGUAUGAUGAGAUUGCAUGAUAGCAUCAUUAAAGAUUUAUCGGUGUACGAUGGGGAUGCGUUCCAUUAGGUAGUAGGCGGGGUAACGGCCCACCUAGCCAACGAUGGAUAGGGGUUCUGAGAGGAAGGUCCCCCACAUUGGAACUGAGACACGGUCCAAACUCCUACGGGAGGCAGCAGUGAGGAAUAUUGGUCAAUGGACGAGAGUCUGAACCAGCCAAGUAGCGUGAAGGAUGAAGGUCCUACGGAUUGUAAACUUCUUUUAUAAGGGAAGAAUAAGUUCUACGUGUAGAAUGAUGCCUGUACCUUAUGAAUAAGCAUCGGCUAACUCCGUGCCAGCAGCCGCGGUAAUACGGAGGAUGCGAGCGUUAUCCGGAUUUAUUGGGUUUAAAGGGUGCGUAGGCGGUUUAUUAAGUUAGUGGUUAAAUAUUUGAGCUAAACUCAAUUGUGCCGUUAAUACUGGUAAACUGGAGUACAGACGAGGUAGGCGGAAUAAGUUAAGUAGCGGUGAAAUGCAUAGAUAUAACUUAGAACUCCGAUAGCGAAGGCAGCUUACCAGACUGUAACUGACGCUGAUGCACGAGAGCGUGGGUAGCGAACAGGAUUAGAUACC